Penaeus vannamei (Pacific white shrimp) is the source of this 519-nucleotide non-coding RNA. Lineage: Eukaryota; Metazoa; Arthropoda; Malacostraca; Decapoda; Penaeidae. The record is from RefSeq and is a predicted model, not a curated record.
CGGCCAUCAGGAUCACAGCGGCCGCAGUCGUCACUCCGUUGGCACGAACUCCAUGAAGCAGCCAGCAUCCUUUCUUCGACGAAAAGAAGACUUAGCUCCGGACACCUUGCCUCUUAUUGUAUUUGUAUUCAAGUGCCUGAUACAAAGAUUAUCUGAGCCUGUGACUGAAUCGCACUGAAGCUAACGACGUAGACGUUCCGAUCAGCUGUUGGUCGUUGGGUGGGUGAACUAGGAGCCAACUUAGACGGCGUAUCCCUACCGUAUAUUUGGUAUAUCUUUUUUAUCGAAUGGUGCUUGUUAUUGUGUGUUCUUUACUUUGAUAUGUUUAGUCUAUUUUUACAAGUUGGUAUGAUAUGAGGUUUAUCAGUAGUUCAUUACCACCACCUACGUUCUCUUACAAGUUUAUAUGUAUGAUUUAUGAGCAUUAUCAAACAGUAGGUGAUAUGAACCGUAUUCAUGUUGACAAAUGAGGAAAGGUAUGAAUGAGACCGAAUAUUUUCACAAUACAAGAGAUGUAUU